Long non-coding RNA from Pistacia vera, 619 nucleotides. RefSeq lists it as uncharacterized. The transcript is spliced from 3 exons. NCBI's taxonomy places the organism in Eukaryota, Viridiplantae, Streptophyta, Magnoliopsida, Sapindales, Anacardiaceae. The record is from RefSeq and is a predicted model, not a curated record.
AAACUUAGAAUUCAGGAAUGUGCACAGUUAGAGGUUUCGUUCCCAAGCCUCUCGCCGUAUUGCAACACAGAGGUAGAUGGAUGUAAGAUGCAUUGCGGAGAAGAAUUUGACUAUAAACCAAUACGGCGGUAAGGUUGCCAUUUUCUGGAACGAUUCAUAUUUUUAAUUUUCAUCUCAAUAUGCGCUCUUUCUUACUAAAUAACAUUUUAUCUCCUCAUCUAUUUGAAAUAACUAGCCUCAAAGCAGAGGUAGAUGAGUGCAAUAUACUGUCCGAUAGUGAAGAUGACCCCUCGACUACUGAGGAAUAUUUCGGAGCUCCCAACUUCUUUAAGGCCUUUCUCGUGGGAGUAAUUAAUUUCAUCCGUAAAAUGUUCAAUUGGACGAGUGCAACUUCUGACUAAUAGAUCGGAGUUCACAACUUCUUUAAGGCCUAUCUUAUUGGAGACGUAGAGCUAGGAUAUGAACUUCAACUGGAAUAAGGCAACUACUAAUGGUUGAUGUCUGUCAGUUUUUCUAUUUGAUGAAUAAGUUAACAGUGCACUUGUAUUGUCUAUUUUUGUGUUUGUCUUAAUAAUGUAAAACACUCUGUUGUUCAUUUUCAUUUUUUUUUUAAUUUUUU